GUUGCAGAAUGCAUGGGAGAACGAUCAGCCAGCACUGAGGGAGGAAAGUUUAACCUUUAUUUCGCAGAUCUGCUCGUCCAGGGGAAUUCCGGAUCCAAAGCCUGAACUGAACUUGUGGGGAGGCUCUGUUCUCAUGUCUCCUCCUGUGGAGGGCCCCUGAUGGUCCCUGCAGCUCCGUCCAAGUCAGUCUUGGCAGGGCCUUGGGGGCAUGCUCCAAAGCUCUGCUUAAGUCAGCUGUGGCAGGCCCAGGGGUUAUGCUCUGCAGCUCCAUCCAAGUCAGUCAGAGUGCGGAAGUAAGACUACAGUUUUAACCAGAUACUGAAUUAGGUUGCAAGCCCCCUCCCCCCACCCAAUUUUCAUUUUCAUGCCCCCUUCAGC
Molecule: long non-coding RNA, 378 nt
Organism: Pipistrellus kuhlii (Kuhl's pipistrelle)
Lineage: Eukaryota; Metazoa; Chordata; Mammalia; Chiroptera; Vespertilionidae
Exons: 3
Source: RefSeq, a predicted model, not a curated record